Molecule: long non-coding RNA, 213 nt
Filed under: Elaeis guineensis (African oil palm)
Lineage: Eukaryota; Viridiplantae; Streptophyta; Magnoliopsida; Arecales; Arecaceae
Description: long non-coding RNA (EGUI_LNC059221)
Source: RNAcentral
AUAUAAGGGUGCCACUGUGAGGUCCUAUGAAGAAGAAAGUGAAAAGAAAAAAUUUAUUUUUUUGCAAAAUCCUAGAUCUUGAAACCUUAGGUGUCAUUGUAUGUGAUGCAAGUUACAAAGAUAGUUAGUUACAUCUAAUCUUGUUUAGUCAAAAUUAUUUUGAUAUAAAAUUAUAAAAAAAUUAGAUUUGAUCUAAAAGAUUUUAUGACUUGA